AUUGCACGCUGGCGGCAGGCCUAACACAUGCAAGUCGAACGAGUGGCGGACGGGUGAGUAAUGUCUGGGAAACUGCCCGAUGGAGGUGGCUAACUACUGGAAACGCUAGCUAAUACCGCAUACUAUCGGAUGUGCCCAGAUGGGAUGAGCUUGUGGGUGAGGUAACGGCUCACCUAGGCUACGACGCCUAGAUGGUCUGAGCGGAUGACCAGCAACACUGGAAAUGAGAAAAGGUUGAGAAUAGUACGUGGGGAAGUAGUGGGGAAUAUGGAACAAUGGGACAAAGCUUGAUGUAGUCAUGUCGAGUGUAUGAAGAAGGUCUUCGGGUUGUAAAGGAGUUGCAGCGGGGAGGCGUUAACCGCAGAAGAAGCACCGGCUAACUCCGUGCCAGCAGCCGCGGUAAUAC
Molecule: ribosomal RNA, 406 nt
Filed under: uncultured bacterium
Lineage: Bacteria
Description: partial 16S ribosomal RNA
Rfam family: Bacterial small subunit ribosomal RNA
Source: RNAcentral